AAUUAAAAAUAAAAAAUAUUUUUUUCUUACGUCGAGAAAUAUUUGUUUUUCAAGAUAAACAAUGUCCGUUAGGCACCUAAUCUUUAUGUCAUAAUAGACCCGAACACUUGCCUCGGAUUGACUUCAAUAUAUAAUUGCUCCAGUGAAUAACAAAAAAAAAUGGAAGGAUGUUAGAUAGUAAAGAAAAGAACUAAUCACAAUAUCUAUCUUUCAAAAUCUAUCUUUCAAAAUCUAUCUUUCAAAAUAUAUAUAUAUCUUUCAAAGAUUCACUAAAAAGACAGUUGGCGGGUCUCUUUGUAUGUCUUGUCCGGAAAGAGGAGGACUUAAUGAUUAUUCGUUCGCCGGAACCAGAAGUAAAAAUUGUUGUGGAUAGGGAUCCUGUAAAAACAUCUUUUGAGGAAUGGGC
RNAcentral lists this ribosomal RNA (406 nucleotides) under Triticum aestivum (bread wheat). RNAcentral's name for it is "partial small subunit ribosomal RNA". The record is from RNAcentral. Lineage: Eukaryota; Viridiplantae; Streptophyta; Magnoliopsida; Poales; Poaceae.